GAUGAAGAACGUAGCGAAAUGCGAUAAGUAAUGUGAAUUGCAGAAUUCAGUGAAUCUUCGAAUCUUUGAACGCACAUUGCGCCCCUUGGUAUUCCGAGGGGCAUGCCUGUUCGAGCGUCAUUAUAACCCCUCAAGCUCAGCUUGGUGUUGGGGCCUGCCGCACGGGCAGCCCUUAAAAUCAGUGGCGGUGCCAUCUGGCUCUAAGCGUAGUAAUUCUUCUCGCUAUAGAGUCCCGGUGGAUGCUUGCCAUUAACCCCCAAUUUUCUAUGGUUGACCUCGGAUCAGGUAGGGAUACCCGCUGAACUUAAGCAUAUCAAUAAGCGGAGGA
This 328-nucleotide unclassified non-coding RNA is filed under the name soil metagenome. Its description in RNAcentral is "partial contains 5.8S ribosomal RNA, internal transcribed spacer 2, and large subunit ribosomal RNA". The stretch from base 1 to 120 matches the Rfam family "5.8S ribosomal RNA", at positions 35 to 154 of the family's 154-position model. The record is from RNAcentral.